Molecule: ribosomal RNA, 690 nt
Filed under: uncultured bacterium
Lineage: Bacteria
Description: bacterial SSU rRNA
Rfam family: Bacterial small subunit ribosomal RNA
Source: RNAcentral
AACGCUAGCUACAGGCUUAACACAUGCAAGUCGAGGGGCAGCGCAGUGUAGCAAUACAUGGGCGGCGACCGGCGCACGGGUGCGUAACGCGUAUCCAACCUUCCCGUUACUCAGGGAUAGCCUUCCGAAAGGGAGAUUAAUACCUGAUGGUGUUCAAAUUCCGCAUGUUAUUUGAAUUAAAGAUUUAUCGGUAACGGAUGGGGAUGCGUGACAUUAGGUAGAUGGCGGGGUAACGGCCCACCAUGCCUACGAUGUCUAGGGGUUCUGAGAGGAAGGUCCCCCACACUGGAACUGAGACACGGUCCAGACUCCUACGGGAGGCAGCAGUGAGGAAUAUUGGUCAAUGGUCGGAAGACUGAACCAGCCAAGUAGCGUGAAGGAUGAAGGUUCUAUGGAUUGUAAACUUCUUUUAUACGGGAAUAAAACCACCUACGUGUAGGUGCUUGUAUGUACCGUAUGAAUAAGCAUCGGCUAACUCCGUGCCAGCAGCCGCGGUAAUACGGAGGAUGCGAGCGUUAUCCGGAUUUAUUGGGUUUAAAGGGAGCGUAGACGGGGGAUUAAGUCAGUUGUGAAAGGCUGCGGCUCAACCGCAGCACUGCAGUUGAUACUGGUUCCCUUGAGUGCGGUUGAGGUAUGUGGAAUUCGUGGUGUAGCGGUGAAAUGCUUAGAUAUCACGAAGAACUCCGAUUG